RNAcentral lists this long non-coding RNA (203 nucleotides) under Elaeis guineensis (African oil palm). RNAcentral describes it as "long non-coding RNA (EGUI_LNC000288)". Lineage: Eukaryota; Viridiplantae; Streptophyta; Magnoliopsida; Arecales; Arecaceae. The record is from RNAcentral.
GGAGGGGGUGCUGCGGCAUCCGCGAUGAUAGAGAAGAACUUGACGUCCUUGACGUCAGUAGUCGAGAUUCGGACGUCGGCGUCGUCGAGGGCGUGCUCCAUGGCAGAGGCGGGUUGGAUGUUGGCAAUGAUAUCGCAGAGGAGGUGGAUCUUUGGGUCUUCAAUCUCCGACAAGGGGUGGCAGCGGCGGCCCCGGCGACUACA